Molecule: ribosomal RNA, 300 nt
Filed under: uncultured Brachybacterium sp.
Lineage: Bacteria; Bacillati; Actinomycetota; Actinomycetes; Micrococcales; Dermabacteraceae
Description: partial 16S ribosomal RNA
Rfam family: Bacterial small subunit ribosomal RNA
Source: RNAcentral
UGUGAGAGCGGUGCUAGAAGCCGUGGUAAUUAGGAGGAUCGGAGGGUUAUUCGAUGUUAUUUGUUGGAAAGGGUGCGUAGAGGGGUAGAGAAGUCAGCGGUGAAAGGUUGCAGCUUAACUGUAAAAAUGCGGUUGAAACUGUCGGACUUGAGUGGAAAUGAGGUAGGCGGAAUGCGGGGUGUAGCGGUGAAAUGCAUAGAUAUCACGCAGAACUCCGAUUGCGAAGGCAGCUUACUAAGCUACAACUGACACUGAAGCACGAAAGCGUGGGGAUCAAACAGGAUUAGAUCCCCAGUAGUC